Long non-coding RNA from Drosophila mojavensis, 595 nucleotides. RefSeq lists it as uncharacterized. The record is from RefSeq and is a predicted model, not a curated record. Lineage: Eukaryota; Metazoa; Arthropoda; Insecta; Diptera; Drosophilidae. The transcript has 2 exons.
GUUAAUAUAAUAGAAAUUAGACAUAUGUAAGUUGUCAGAUUAGACUCAGCUUGAACUUUCAUCUAAGCUACAUAAGAAAUUUCGAAAUAGAUAUAGAGGCUAUUGAUAGCAAUUGUUGUCGAGAAUAUCAUAUUAGGGGAUUUGAUAAUAGUUCCUUGGCUGCUAAUAGAAGAGUACGAGCCCUGCAGCAAAAAUAAGAUAAUAGAUGAUAAAGAUUCUGAAAUAUUGAGAUUAGAUGCAGAAAACUUUAAUUACGCUGACACAGUCAAAGAACUGAAAAAGAAAUUGAAAAGCCAAAAAACCAAAAUAUCUAGAUGCAUAGAUAUACAUAUACGAGGUGGAAGUUCCUGACUCGAGUCUUUUCGAGUCUAGCUGACUGCUUGGGGGCUUCAGGCUUGCAGUCACAGGGCUCUAAAUGCAAAGCGUGCACUUGAGGGAUAAAUGGAAUGGACAUGAUGAUGAUCAGGUCAAUUAAUACACUAUGGUCGAGACCGAUUUUUUGGCGUAAAAUCUAAUUUUAUAGUUAGAGUCUUCACACGUAUAUUUGUCAAAUACAAUUGGAAUUUUUUAUUUUGGGGUUGGACCCUCCCAUACC